GCCUUGGUAGCUCAGACGGCAAGGGCGUCUUGCUUCUGACCGGAAGGUCCUGGGUUCAAUCCCAGGUAGGGGCA
RNAcentral lists this transfer RNA (74 nucleotides) under Lepisosteus oculatus (spotted gar). It matches the Rfam family "tRNA". Rfam says of the family: Transfer RNA (tRNA) molecules are approximately 80 nucleotides in length. Lineage: Eukaryota; Metazoa; Chordata; Actinopteri; Semionotiformes; Lepisosteidae. The record is from Rfam by way of RNAcentral.